This 358-nucleotide transfer RNA is filed under the name uncultured Microcystis sp. Its description in RNAcentral is "partial 16S-23S ribosomal RNA intergenic spacer". The stretch from base 133 to 206 matches the Rfam family "tRNA". Lineage: Bacteria; Bacillati; Cyanobacteriota; Cyanophyceae; Chroococcales; Microcystaceae. The record is from RNAcentral.
AAGGGAGACCUAAUUCCGGUAGGAGACGAAAAAAAAGUAGUCCCAACCAAGAAUCAAUCCCAAAAGGUCGGAACGAGGUAUGAGGCUUUCAAACUAGGUUCUGGGUUCAUAAAAGACCUGAAUCAGGAACAAGGGCUAUUAGCUCAGGUGGUUAGAGCGCACCCCUGAAAAGGGUGAGGUCCCUGGUUCGAGUCCAGGAUGGCCCACCUGCACAGGUGGCAAAAACAAGAGAAGCUCCGAAUCAGCACCUUAUCUUAUAUACAUAUAUAAGAGAGAAUGCUGGCUCUGAGUACAGAGUCCAGAGGAACCUUGAAAACUGCAUAGAGCUAGGUGAAAAAGCCAAAAAAGAAGACCGCAA